GGCUCAUUGGUCUCGUGGUAUAAUUCUCGCUUUGGGUGUGAGAGGUCCCAGGUUCAAAUCCUGGAUGAGCCC
Molecule: transfer RNA, 72 nt
Filed under: Danio rerio (zebrafish)
Lineage: Eukaryota; Metazoa; Chordata; Actinopteri; Cypriniformes; Danionidae
Rfam family: tRNA
About the family: Transfer RNA (tRNA) molecules are approximately 80 nucleotides in length.
Source: Rfam by way of RNAcentral